UCGUAGUUAAUAACCAUAAAUGGUCUUACAAUAAAUCCAUAUUUUCGUUGACUCCAUAUUGGCAAACAACUGUAUAUCUAUAUCUAAUUAUAACAUACUAUUCCUUAAUAAUAAAUAGAGUAGUAGUGCAUAAUAAUAAAGAUACAUAUAAACCAAAAUUUGACCUUAAAUAAUAAAAUACUGUGAUACUAUAUUUUACUAGUACUUCCAGCAUAGCUGCAUUUUAUCCAUUCUAAAAUAUUCUAAGCUAAACAAUGCACACACAAAAACAGUAAAUUAUAUGUAGUAUAUAAAACAGUCAGCAAAGAAAAAACAUUACGAAAGAUACAUAUAUGUAAAAUAUAGUUAUUGUUUUGAUAUGAGAUUCGUACUAAAACUAAUCAAAUAGACCAUGCGCCGCGAAAAAUUUAACUAUUCAAAUAAGUCGCAAAUUUGAAUACAUCCAAAUAUCUUACACAUAGAGGUUUUUAUACUGCAUAUAAUUAUAGUCUACAUAUUUGUUUGCGCAGCAAUUGCUACAAUCGAAUUGGAUGUUGAAACAUAAAAUGGUGAUUUAUUUUGAGAAAAAAAUGUUCUGCAAUAAUACAACCAUAUGUGAUGAACAUAUUGUUGCAAGUUACGUAAAUGCACUUUAUAAAGUAAAUAAAAAAAACAGCAACUGUCAUUUUAAGGAUAAAGGUUAUAUUCUAUUGACAUUAAAAUCACUACAACUUUUAAUAACCACAUAAUUUUGGCCUUACAAUAAAUUAUAUCUAUAUCAUGCAUGUACAAGCAAAUGAAGCGCAUAGGUCGGGAAACAAAAAUCAAAUGCAUGGUAAUUAAGACAAAUUAUUUAUUUAAAUCUUUUUAUUGUUCACUAGCAAAUUGACAAUUUAAAUUUUAAAAAAAUAUUGAAAAGACAAAUCUUUGAAUAUCCAAAAAUGACAAAAGCCUCCAAAAGUAUAUAUUGUUAAACUUUGAUUGUUGGACGUAUCAUAGAGGAAACGUCUGUCUGUUCACAUAUAUACAUAGAUAUUGAGUUGUUGAGUUCCAUGCAAAUCAAUUGUUUUAGAAUUCGUCACAAUUCUAUACGGCCUUUAUAAACAGACAAUUCAUAUGUUAGCAUAUGAAGUCUCAAAGUUUUGAAAUAUAAUAAACUUCAAAAGAUUAAGAAAUCAAUUAAAUAAAACAAAAUCACCAGAUAAAUCAAUUUAGUUAUAAAAUUGUUAAAAAAAAACUGAGUAUCAGCUAUUUAAAAUCAAUAUUCAGUAGCGUCAAUGAAAUGCGAGGCGGGACUACUAAUAUUAUUGAAUACAUAACUAUUUGAUCAAUUUGAAUUAUUUUCAUCCAAUACAACAAAUGCAAUAUAUAAAUAAAUCUAAUCGAUUUCAUUGAGAUAUAUACUUACAUCUAUGUAUGUAUGUAUGUGCAAUUGCAAUUGUUUGAGCAAACCAAAUAUAUUUUAAUAUUUUAUUUUUGCGGAUUUGUUGUUUUUUAUUGAUAAAUAUUAAUUAACUUACUAAUUUCGUUAGCAUUGUGUUAUUAUAAAUUAUAUUUAAUUUACUCAUUCGUCGGGUAACCAACCCAUGUGCGUUGAAGUGUCUAGACUGGCAUUCUUAUUAUUUUAUAUAUUAUAGCGAUACAAACAUGCAGAUUCUUACAAAAAUUAAAUAAAAUUAAAUAUUCAUUGUAAUGAAUUUAAUAAUCAAAAAUAUUUAAAAAGUAUAAAAUUAAAAAGUAAUAUAGAAAACGCAAUUUAAUAUACAAUUGCUUUUAGGUGAACUUAUACGAAAAUAACUUAAUAUCCUUUUUCAAAAUGUUAUGAACAAAAACAUACAUAUACGAGUAUAAAUAGUUACAGAAAUGUAUACAACUUGUUGCAAUCUAUUAAAUUAGUUUGCGGUAUCUAUUUAUAUUUUAUGAAAUCCAAAAUGCUCCUAUUAUAUAGGGAAGUUUUUCAAAAAAUUCAUCUAUAUAUAACCGAAAGUAUAUAAAUUUAGCAUACAUAACGUCUUAAAAUAUUUAAACAUGCAAAUCUAAUCUUACUAAUUUGUAGAAAUAUAGAUUCUUCAAUAAAUAUGCUUGAAAGUAAGCAAUAUUAAACGAGAUAACAGUUUGCUUCUUACCAAAAUAAUUACAAACCAAACGUCUGAUAUUAUGUUUGCCAUAAUCAUUUUUUUUUGCAAUAAACACUCACAACGAAAAUAAAAUUUAACAAAUUAAAUAAUAGUAAAGAUGCCAUCUGUUCUAUAAAUAGGUUUGACUACGUCAAAUCACUUUGAUUAAUGGUCUUUUCGUUCAGAAUUUACUUAUAUGGAGUUAUAACACCAAAAUAUGUUUAAUUUUCUUCAAACAUUGUAUGCGUUGAUCCGCUGGAUUACUAUUUAAAGUCCUAUAAAAUGACGAAUAUAUUAUUUAUGAUAGUAUUUCUAUCAUAUAAAAAGAGGUAAUUUUAUUGCAAUAAUAUAAAAAACAAAAA
Molecule: long non-coding RNA, 2458 nt
Organism: Drosophila sulfurigaster albostrigata
Lineage: Eukaryota; Metazoa; Arthropoda; Insecta; Diptera; Drosophilidae
Exons: 2
Source: RefSeq, a predicted model, not a curated record